GAGGGUUUGGCUGAGUAGCUUAAAGCGCCAGAUUUAGGCUUUGGUCCAAAAGGGCGUGGGAUAAAAUCCCACAGCAGUCA
This 80-nucleotide transfer RNA is filed under the name Ipomoea nil (Japanese morning glory). It matches the Rfam family "tRNA". Rfam says of the family: Transfer RNA (tRNA) molecules are approximately 80 nucleotides in length. The record is from Rfam by way of RNAcentral. Lineage: Eukaryota; Viridiplantae; Streptophyta; Magnoliopsida; Solanales; Convolvulaceae.